RNAcentral lists this ribosomal RNA (1899 nucleotides) under Strombidium sp. RNAcentral's name for it is "small subunit ribosomal RNA". It matches the Rfam family "Bacterial small subunit ribosomal RNA". The record is from RNAcentral. Lineage: Eukaryota; Ciliophora; Spirotrichea; Strombidiidae.
CUUAUCAUGAGUUUGACUGUGGCUCGGAGUGAACGCGAGCGGUAUGUCUUGACACAUGCGAAUUGUACGUAAAUUUAAAUAAAUUUAAGUAGUGUAAGGGUGAGUAAUACAUUAAUAGUUGUCGUAAAGUUUAGAAAAAAAUUCUAAAUAAAGACGGUUGUGGAUCUUUUAAUAAGAAUAGGAUGUUACAGCUAUUAUAACAUGUUAAACAUUUAACAUGUUAUAAUAACGGUAAUUAAUUCCACAAAUAGUUAAUAAUUAUAAAACAACUCGGGGUAGUUUUAUAGUAACUAUUAUAUUUAACCAUCUUGUAAAGUAAGAAACGCUUUUCGGUACUAUGAGUGUUAAGGUAGGAAUGUAGUGAGAGCUAAUCCGAAGACCUUUAGCUGGGUUGUGAGACUGUCCAGUCACAUGGGAGCUGAAAAACAUCCCACCGUUGGCAGCAGUGGGGAAUCUUGGUCAAUAAACGAAAGUUUGAACCAGCAUACUGCGUAAGGUGAAAAGUUGUAUUGUAUAACUGUGAAGGCUACGAAAGCUGUAAAGCCUGUCUGCUAGUUAAAAUAAUGAUAUUACACAUGUGAAAAUCCCGGGCUAAGAAGGUGCCAGCAGCUGCGGUAAUACCUUAUCGGGGGAGCGUUAUUGGCCUUUACUGAGCGUAUAGUAUGGCUAGAUUGUUUAAGAAGUUGUAAUGAAAAUCGAAAAUUUAAUUGACUAAUUUACAAAACCUUAAUACUAGAGAUAAUAACAAGUUUAUAACCCUUAUAGUAUAGAGAUAAAAUAUAAAAAUACUGUCAGGGGUUCUCAACGGCCUCGGCAAUAUUCUAUUAUUAUCUGACGUCGAACCAUUUAAGUAUAAGUAUCGAAUAGGAUUUGAGACCCUAGUAGUUUAUACCGUGAAUCAAUGGGUAUCACACAUAAGUCAAUUUAGUCUUGAGUGUACGUUAACGCUUGAAUACCUCGCUUGGAGAGUAAGGCUGCAAAGGUUAAACUUAAACAGAUUGGCGGGAGUUUGUUUGAACGGUGGAGCGUGUGGAUUAAUUCGAUAAUCCGCGCCUAAUCUUACCAACGUAUUGGAAAAUUUUAAUGUAAUAUUUAACGGUAAAUAACGAAAAAUUUUGAAUUGGUACUGCAUGGCUGUCGUAAGCUCGUGUUGUAAAACGUCCUAUUAAUUUAUACAACGAACGCAACCUUGUAUAUAAGUUUUCUUAAAAAUUUUAAUAAAGAUACUUUAAUUAAAUUAUAUUUUAUAUUUAGAUAAUAAUUUAAUAAAGCUUAUUAAAUUUUUUUUAACUUGUACACACAACAAAGUUAGUAAAAAAAUCUUAUUUAUAAAUAAAAAUAACCGACUUUGGGGGAGUAGAGAAGAAGUCAAGUCAUUAUGGUCUAUAUAUGUUGGGCUUCACAUGCGCUACAAUGGUGAAUACAAAUAGAUAUAAAAGUGUGAACGAUAAUAAAUCUAAAAAAAUCAUCUAAGUCCGGAUUAUAGACUGAAACUCGUCUGUAUCAAGUCGGAAUCGUUAGUAAUCGUGAAUCAGCACGUCACGGUGAAUGAUCUGUCAAACUUUGCACACACCGCCCAUCACGCUCGAAGAGUCGCAUUGGCUGGACACUCACUUUUUAAUAAUACACGAAGAUAUAACUCUAUAUUGAAACUUUAUAUAAAUUUACAUAAAUUUAUACCAAAAGUGUUUGUCUAUUAAGAAAGUUAAAAUUAAAUUUUUAAUUUCCGAACGUAAACAUCUUUAUAGCUUAGUAUUGUUAUUUUUUUGGUGGAUAAGGUUUUAGAUUUUAAAACACGAAACACGUAUUAUAUUUUUGGUAGUUAAGGAGAGUGUGGUAAUUUGAGCGAAGUUGAAACAAGGUAAUAGUAGGGGAACCUGUUGUUGGAGUACACAUAUU